This 224-nucleotide unclassified non-coding RNA is filed under the name plant metagenome. RNAcentral describes it as "partial contains small subunit ribosomal RNA, internal transcribed spacer 1, and 5.8S ribosomal RNA". The record is from RNAcentral.
UCUCCGUUGGUGAACCAGCGGAGGGAUCAUUACAGGACUCGCAAGACUCCUUCACCCUGUGAACCUCACUACAAGCACGUUGCUUCGGCGGGUGUCCCGGCGGGGGUUUUCCCUCGCCGGGGCGCACAGCCCGCCGGCAGCCCACUAUACUCUGUCUCUUUGCGUUGGCAUCUCGAGAAAAAACAAACAAGUUAAAACUUUCAACAACGGAUCUCUUGGUUCUG